AACAUUUUUUCUGCACAAUGCGUUCUCAGCCAACACAUUCUCCUACGCCUCAAGAAUUUGAAAGUCGGAUUCGCAAAUACAUCCUAGAUAACGUAAUAGAUUUAUGUACGUGAAGUCCGAAACAAGGCCUCGCCUUACAUAUGUACAUCUGUAAGUACACCGUGCUAAGGCUGGCACCAAAAAUAUCUAUUACACGGAAACAGCAGAAAUUUGUUUCCCUUGCAUAUAUCACCGCCACCGCAUGUGGAAAGGGUUUGAUAACCAGUAUUGUCAACCCUCUGUAUGCAAUCCAGGGAAAUGAGAGGAAUGAGAAUCAUCAUCGGUCGCACAUGUGCACCAGGAGAGAGUAAAGACAGAAUCAAUGAAUUAUGUACCCAUGAGCGGUCCCUACCCAAACGACCCCUACACAUACCAGUUAGGGGUUCUUUUCCUCACACCCACAGGGGGUUCUUUUCCAUCCGCCUGCCCAAUUGAAACAAACUUUUUAUUGCCAUCUGAGAAAUGCCAAUAGAGGGAUGCACAAGCUUGAAUAUGGUUUUCUCUUUUACGUAAUUACAAUAAUUUAUUUCAUCGUUCAAAAAUGCUUUAUAUUCUUCUUCUUCUCUUCCUUUUUGAGUGGUUCUGUUGUCUGCCUUUCACUACUACUGGUUGCUUGUUGAUUUUAUUCUUGAUGUUCGCUUUUUCAGAUCUAAUGCAGAUACAUAGGUAUGUGUUUAUGUAGGUAUAUAAUAAGUAUUUACAAAAACGCUUGAUUCUUCAAUAUUCAUUGUCUGUGGUAUCGGUAUCAAAUUGGUAUCGGUAUUGUAUUCAGCGGCAUAUGUUUGAUUCCUCUGUAUAUUCAAUUCAACUGUUGUACGCAACUUAAGCUUAAAGCCCUCAAAUGCCUCUCGCUGUGGGAAUUGGGUCAGUGGGUGUCUGUGUCGGUUUUAUUAGGGGAAAGUGGGUGUUUGUAGGUGGUUGGUUGGGUAUGUUGAGGGUCGAAUCGUAUUGGCGGCAUAUAAGUACGAGUACAUACUCUGAUUGACCAACUCUGCGCACUGCUUUGUCAAAUAUCAGUCGUUAUAUUUUCAGAACUUGGUAUUAUUGCAUGUAUAUAUUGUAUCUUGGGUAGGCGCUGGCCUGCCCUCACUAAUUGAUAUACGUACGAGUAUAUGUAACAUUAAAAGUUUAUUCUUGUCCAUAUUUCGAUUCUCGAGUUUGUUUAUACAAUUUACAAAUGAAUUGGGUUUAUCGUUAUUAUUCGAUUUGCUCAACAAAAUGUAAACCCUCGUUUAAUACUGACAUAAAUACUUAAGAUUAGUCAUGGCUUAGAGCUAAAUGCUGAAACGAAACAAAAGAAGCCUCUCCGAGGCUCCCUUGGUUGGGGACCCCGAACAGAACUCAAUCUUCCCGUUGCUCGAACGCGCCCUAAAACGAAAAACCCACACAGUCGAGUCGAGUCGCGUCACUCCCCCUUGUGGGUGGGGGGCUGCGUCGAUGUCGGUGUAAGUGUGGAUGAUGUAGGGGCCACAGAGGGCGCAAAAAUUUUGAAACCAUACGUAAAACUUGAGUGUCGAAGUGUGUCGAAAUAUGCUUUCAAUAGUGCCUCGAUUUAUUCAAAUACAAUUUGUAUGUUUAUUUGUUUUGUAUUUAAUUGCAUUUGCUGUUUCUUCAAUUUUGUAUUUUUGUCUCUUUCAUUCUUUCAUAAAUGUAACGUCUAAUUUUAAUAAUGAGUUUUUUUAUUAUGUGGUUUUUGUUUGUUUGUGUGUGGGUGUGUAUGUGUCUGUAUAGAUUUACGCUUCUUCAUGCUCAAUCUUUGUAUAUUUGUUUUUAAGCAUAAACUUCUAUAAAUUAGGACUUAUACAUAAAGGAAAGAAAGAUUUUGGUUUAGUUUUUUUUUUGUGGAUUUCGUGUCGUAUUUGUAUAUAGUGGGGAUGAUUACGUUUCAUUUCGUUCUUUUCGUAUAGAUCGACAUAUACGAACCUUUCUCAAUUACAAUUUUUGUGGUUUUGUAUUUUUUUAUAAAAAAA
This 2009-nucleotide small RNA is filed under the name Drosophila pseudoobscura pseudoobscura. Its description in RNAcentral is "GA31991". The record is from RNAcentral. Lineage: Eukaryota; Metazoa; Arthropoda; Insecta; Diptera; Drosophilidae.